GGCUGCACUUGCAGCAUAUGGAAGUUUCCAGGCUAGGGGUUGAAUGAAAGCUACAGCUGCUGGCCUACACCACAGCCAUGGCAACACCAGAUCCGAGCCACAUCUGUGACUUACACCACAGCUCACAGUGAUGCCAGAUCCUUAACCCACUGAGAGAGGCCAGAGAUCAAACCUGCGUCCCCAUGGAUAUUAGUUGGGUUUGUUUCCACUGUGCCACAAUAGGAACUCCCCAAGUGAAUUCUUAUCAGAUUUUGAACCAUGGCCAUAAGUCUUUUGGUCAUUUAUAGAGAGUUACUAUCUUACAUUGAUACUUUUGCAAAAACGUUGCAUCUUCAGAGAGGAUCAUGGGAAAGACUCAGACAAGUACUCUGUAAUACAAGUUUCUGGAACUUUAAAACUAUAGAACUGGGUAAGACGUAUCCUGAGAGGGAUGACAUCACCUAGAUCGUGUUCAAACUGCAGAGGCACAACUGAAUCUAAUGAUGAGGAAAUAUUAGACAAACCCAAAUGAGGAAUCUUUUAUUAAAAAGAAGGGGGGGGCUAUAGUCUUCAAAAAUGCCAGUGUUAUAAAAGACAAAGAAAAGCUAUGAAAAUGUUACUGAUUGAAGGAGGCUAAAGAGCCAUGACACCAAAACACAGUACCAGGUGGGAUCUGUGUGCUAGAAGAGCCCCCCCACCAAAAAAAAAAUGCUAUAAAGAAUUCAUUGGCUUAAUUCACACUAUUGGAAUUCACACAGUAGAUUAAAGUAUUACAUCAAUGUUAGAUGACCUGAAGUUGAUAACUGUACUGUGGUUAUGUAAGAGAUUAUCACAGUUCUUAGGAAAUACACACUGAAAAGUUUAUGGGUAAAAGGCUAUAAUUUAUGUAACUUACCAUCAAACGAUUCAGGCAAAAGAGAGGAUAUUGACGCAAUUGCGGUAAAAUGUUAAUAAGUGAAUCUGAGUAAAAGGUAUACAGAUUAUUUUUGCACUAUUCUUAGAGUUGCAACUUUUCUGAAUGUUUGUAACUACUAAAAAAAGUUAAAAUAAUUUUAUAUACAUUUGCAAUAUUUUAUAUGCACAUAUACCAUAUAUUUAAAUACAUUUUUCUGUCAUUACAAACCAAAGUUUAAAAAUUUAUUCAUCUAUCAACUGCUAUAGAAAAACCACAGAACUAGGCCUCAAAGAGGAGAUGGAACAUGUCUCUGAGGUGCACCAAGAAUUAGAAAGCCUGGAAGCAGACCACAUGGCAACUUUGUAAUUGAUUGUGAUGUUUAUGGUGGGGAGGGGGAGGAAGGGAUCAAAAGGAGAAUGAGAAAGAGACUGGUGUGAAUAUCUUACCACAUCUAAGCACCCCAAUUAAGAUAUACAACACACUCUAGAUAAUAUAUAUGGGCUAUUAUACAUUUGACAUGUAGUGUAACUUAACCAUCUUAAAAUAUAUAUGAGUUUAUAAUCUGUGUAACAACUAAUGUAUUGUGGAGAUUUAAUAACACUCGAAGGUCACUAAAAAAAUAACAUGAUUUUAUUAAUUCCUGCUGGUCAAUUACAAUGCUCAUGACCAAAAGGCAAGAGAGUCUAGAUCCUAAUUAUAAGAAAGACUCUGUUACUGAUUAUCAAUCCUUCAGAAAAUAACCUGAAAACUGAGGUCUCUUUUUCCAUUCUGUAAGAAGCCGUGACAAUGAGACCUGUUUCUCAGUAUUGCUCUGAGGAGUAUCUUGUAGAAGAGUGUAAAAGACUUCGAUACCUUAGGAGUGCCUCUUAAAACUAAGUUAAUAAUGACACAGUGUCUCCGCUCCACACAACAGAACAAUCUUUGAAUGUAAAGGGUGGAGGGAAGGGGUGUUUUGAAGACCUGCUAACCAGAGGCAACAAAGAGCUUCAUGCAAUGUUAUAUGUGAACACAGUGACAGUAUUAUUUGGGGACAGAAUUCCUGAAGCGAUGUACGGCGUACCUAAGCCAAAUUAAAUACAUAAGGAAGCCAAGAAUCAAAACAGCUUCCAAAAGGUAGAUGAUCAAAUAGCCCCAGGAAGUUUGUUUCAGGUGCUUACCUAUCUCUCCGUUUCUCACCUCAAUGAUAAGAAGGAGAAAUGUAAAGGAAUUCUCAGAGUUUGACUCCUCACACCCUUUGCUUUUUCCUUUAAUCACUCUUCCUCCACCUCCCAGCCCCUGGUCCAUCUUCAGCAACACUAACUACAAUCUCUUUACGCUUACUUGACAUGGAGACCCAAGGCUGUCUGUCACCAAUGAGAACUACUUUGAGUUAUUCAAACUAAAACCUUCUCCUACUGUAAAAUAGCUGUCCCACUAAACUAAAAUUCUACCAAAUAGAAAUUAGUAUAUUUCACUUAGGGUGGUUUUGGCAAAAGUUGCAUGGUCCUGCAAGCUGCGGUUGGUUGGUAAUGACUUGUUGAGAAGGACUCUGGGGUAAGGGCUCCUCUGAGCUCAGUGCAGAGGAGGAUGUUGAGGGAUUAGUGAUAUCUAGAGUGGUUGGAUAAGCGAGUCGUGGGGGCAUUCCCAGGUCAGAUCUGACCUUGGAGGUACAUCUAGAAACCUUUUUAUUCAUGUGAUGUCCCAUCUCCAUGCAUCUUCAUAGGCUAUUUUAUCUACCUGGAAUACCCUUUCUCCUACACUGUUCCUUCAAGACUGUGUUCAAACUUUCCUUUCUCUGUGAAGCCUUCUCUACCUUCUCCACGCAUCUUCUGGAAUCACUAGAUUGUCAGCCUCUGGAAAUCUGGUUGCUAGUCUUCCACAGAGUCUCUGAGCACCAGCAGAGUGUCAGCACCAAAAGAAUAACGAGUAGGUAAUGUUCACUUUCAAGAAAAAUCACAAUCUAGUAGGGGAUAAGAAAAAAUAAGUAGUAUUUGAUACAGAAGUUUGAGUAUAAAAAAUGGCAGAAAAAGGACUCUUUUAGGAGGGUAAGAAAAAUUUUGGAAUAAGGUGAAGAAUCAUAAGGAAAUGGCAUUUGAGUGAUACCUUGACAAAUCGAUAAUAUUUGCCUGGGAGAGGUGGCAGCUAAUUUGGGCAGAUAUCUAUUUCCUCAUGAAAGGAGAUAGGAGAGGGAUAAAAAUACCCUCUAAAGUCAUUUUUAUCAUUUGUAACAAUGACAAUAUAAUACAGACUAGUUUAUGCUAUAAAACAGAUUCUUUUGUACUGAAUAGUCAGAGAGGAUGAGCAACUAUGUUGUAGAAGUUCAGAGUCAGAUUCCCAAGCCCACUCCCACCCCUACCCCUGGGAGCAGAGUCUAAUAGCAGAAAAACUAAAGAAUUACUCAAGCAAUGUAGGAAAAAGAUGGAGACUUGAUUAUGAAAAAUAAAUUUUCCUCACAUCCUAGUUUUUCUAAUUAACUCUGCCAUCAAGGUCUUGAUGAAUUAAGAUAUAAAAGUAGUGAACAUUACAGAGAGAGAGGAAUGGGAAUGCUAAGGGCAAGGUAUGGGAAAUCUACUAAAUGAGGAAGUCUUUCUGGAAUAAGAACCUCUGAUUCCAUAACUGCAGCCAGGGACCUUGGGAGGAAAAUGAUAACGGGGAUUAGAAAACUCAUCAUUUUAGAAAGGCAAACAUUUGGCCUCAAACUCUUCGGUGUGUGUCUUUGACUUUUUGCCUAGAGAUUUGGGACUCUGUUUUCUUGUUUGCAAAGUGGGAAUGCUGGUGGUUAUGAUGAUGAUGACAACUCAAGGGGCUCUUGUGGGGGUUAAACAAGCUAAUGCACCUAGUUGAGUGCCUUGCACAUAAUAGGACUUUAAUGUAUGGUGGCUAGUACUUUUGAAUGCCUACUACAAGCUAGACAUUGUAAUACAUGUUAUCUGGUAGUGUUCUCAACAUCUCUUUUAAUAGGUAUUAGGAAAACCAUACCAGAUGCCAUACUUGGUAAAUGGCAGACCUAGGCCUUAAUUUCUGGAUGGCUAGACAACAAAAUCUGUAGUGAUUCCAUUAUAUCAUGAUCCUUUACCUUGAAAAUAUUAGCCUUGAUUAUAGCUUUUGAGCUUCCAUUCAUCUUUGAGAAGAUACAAGAUGUCAUUCAUGAAUGUAUCUAUAGAUUUAACUCUACCAACCAUCAUUUUCCACAUCUACAAUUGGGAUAAACUGGGACCCUGAGAAGUAAGCCUGUAUUUUGCUGGGGUUUUUUUGUUUGUUUGCUUAUGGUUUUGGGUGCGUUUGGUUGUGUUUGGUAUAACUCUAGGAACCCAGAAAAAAGUUACUUAGAGAUGGUUCUGUCCUAAACUGAGAGCAGGAGCUCUUAAAGUUCUCAAAACUCCCUGACAUCAGUUUUGGCAAUAAUUGUUUGGGUUUGACACCAAAAGCAAAUGCAAACAUAAACUGGUGGGGCUACAUCAAACUAAAAAACUUCUGCACAGUGAAGGAAACUAACAACCUGAAAAGGCAAACUAUGGAAUGAGAGAAAACAGAGUAGAAAAGUGGUUGACAGGGGCUAGGGAUGGGGGAAAUGAGGAGAGGUUGGUAAAAGGGUACAUGAUUUCAGCUAAAACUGAAGAAGGGCUGAGGAGCAAAUUAUAACAUGCUGACUAUGGUGACAACACCUGCAUUGGAUUGGUGAAAUUUGCCAAGGGAAGAAAACUUGCAUGUUCACACACACACACACACACACACACACACACACACACACAAGUGAGAAAGAAAGGAAGGCAGGCAGAAGGAAGGCAGGGAGGAGGAAGGGAGGAAGGACGGGGAAACCCUAGCCAGAUCUAAAGAAUCAGAAACUGGAGGAGGAGGGCAGGCAACAAUCCUUGUUUUAACAAGACAUACAGGCAAUUCUGAAGUGAACUAAAAUUUGACCAUCACUAAUAUGAAGAAUAAACAGUAUGUAAUUCAGUUUUUGAUGGUGGCCUUCAUGUGUAAUGUAUUGGUAACUUUCACAUUUCUCUUUUGCUAAAUAGAAUAAAUGUUGGUUGAAAACGACUUAAGGGUGUCACUUAAUUUUUUUUUUCACUGACUUGAUUCUAAUCAGGAUAUUAAAUAUCCAUGCUAGAUGGGCUUUAUUAUUUAAGGAUUAUUUUUCCCAGAAAUAAGUGUUUGUUGUCAACAACAACCUAUUUCAGUGACUCUUUAGUCAAAAGUGUUUUUGUAUUUCUUUUUAAAAUGUGCAGGCUGAUAGAUGGCCUUUUGGGGGUUUUUUGGAUGCAAACUGUUAUAUCUGGAAUGGAUGGGCAAUGGGACCCUACUGUACAGCACAGGAAAAUGUGUGUGACUGUGUCACUUUGCUGUACAACAGAACUUGAGGAAACAUUGUAAAUCAACUAUACUUUAAUAAUUAAAAAAUAAAAAUAAAACAGGCAGGCUGAGGUAUAGAUAUUGUAAGUGUAAAUUCAGAACUUUCUAAUUUUAGUCUAACUUUGAAUAUCCUGAAAAAUUAUCAAAAUCUGUGUCCCAAAUUAUAGUUUGAUGGUUAUCACUAUUGACGUAGGGGGAAAUGUGGAAAUACCAAAUGGUUUAGAAUGUCAUCCUGAUAGUCUUUCAAAUUCCCCAGAAAGUUAUUUUGCCAGUGGUAACAUACAUCUUUUAGGGCGGCUGCCUGGCUCAGAACAUCCUCUAUAAACAAUUAUCACCCUUGUCACUCUAGCGCAUUGUCCUACCAAGUUGGAUUCUUUUUCCCACAGGUGAGGAAUCUGGUUUCAAAGAGGUGGACCAGUCUCUGCUAGCCUGCGGAGCUGAGGGUGUGUGAAUUCAGGAGCCAUGGGGUCUAGAGAAGCAGAGAAAGCCACUUAUUAGAAAGACGCAAUAGCCCAGACAUGCCAAGAAAAUAAAUGGGCUUGAGAAUGUGGAGAGAAAAAAUGAAUAUGAGCAAAUGCCAUAAUUCCUAGUGGCUUUCUGGUUCCUGAUUCUAAUCUUCUGUAUCACUUAAAGAAACAUCUUGUCUUUGGAUUCUUUGAAAUUCAUCUUUAUUCCAUAGAAAAAUCAUCUUUUCCCCCCCUUUAACCAAGUUUGAAAGAAAUUCUUUUAUUUCUAACUCAAAGUGUCUUGAUGAAGAUUACAGCCAAUGGGUGGAGGGUGGGGGUGUUCCUGCUUUAUUGAAGCAGCAGGAAAAAAAAUAGGAGUGACGCAAAUCUUAAAAUCGAAAUCCCCAGAGUCUACAUGGGAAAAGAAUCUGAAAAAGAAUGGAUGUGUGUACACGUAUAACUGGAUCACUUUGUUGUACAGCAAAAAUGAUCACAACCUUGUAAGUCAAGUAUACUUCAAUAAAACUUUUAAAAAAUUUAAAAAAGGAAAACAUUACUGAGUGGCAAAAAAAGAAAAAGAAAUGAAGUUGCUAUAGCAAUCAAAACAUCAUUUAACAGUGUCUGGGAAAGUUAUUUGUCUUGUCCAAUGCUUAAGCUGAAUCAAAUCGUUUAAGUGUCUCUUCAGUUAUA
This 6345-nucleotide long non-coding RNA is filed under the name Sus scrofa (pig). RNAcentral's name for it is "lncRNA (ENSSSCG00000061918.1)". Lineage: Eukaryota; Metazoa; Chordata; Mammalia; Artiodactyla; Suidae. The record is from RNAcentral.